GAGCGCAACCCUUGUCUUUAGUUGCCAUCAUUAAGUUGGGCACUCUAGAGAGACUGCCAGGGAUAACCUGGAGGAAGGUGGGGAUGACGUCAAAUCAUCAUGCCCCUUAUGCUUAGGGCUACACACGGGCUACAAUGGGUAGUACAGAGGGUUGCCAAGCCGUAAGGCGGAGCUAAUCCCUUAAAGCUACUCUCAGUUCGGAUUGUAGGCUGAAACUCGCCUACAUGAAGCUGGAGUUACUAGUAAUCGCAGAUC
RNAcentral lists this ribosomal RNA (255 nucleotides) under Clostridioides difficile. Its description in RNAcentral is "partial 16S ribosomal RNA". It matches the Rfam family "Bacterial small subunit ribosomal RNA", at positions 1094 to 1350 of the family's 1533-position model. The record is from RNAcentral. Lineage: Bacteria; Bacillati; Bacillota; Clostridia; Peptostreptococcales; Peptostreptococcaceae.